ACGAGUGAGGGUCGUCCAGGCCCGACCUCCCAACCCUUUGUUUACCGAACCUCUGUUGCUUCGGCGGACCCGCCUCACGGCCGCCGGAGGACCGUCGCAAGGCGUCCUCUGGCCCGCGUCCGCCGACGGCCCACCACACAAACCCUGAACCAACCGUGUCGUGUGUCUCAGUUCAUGAUUAAAUUAUAAGCA
RNAcentral lists this unclassified non-coding RNA (192 nucleotides) under uncultured Herpotrichiellaceae. RNAcentral describes it as "sequence contains ITS1". Lineage: Eukaryota; Fungi; Ascomycota; Eurotiomycetes; Chaetothyriales; Herpotrichiellaceae. The record is from RNAcentral.